Molecule: long non-coding RNA, 3858 nt
Filed under: Astyanax mexicanus (Mexican tetra)
Lineage: Eukaryota; Metazoa; Chordata; Actinopteri; Characiformes; Acestrorhamphidae
Description: lncRNA (ENSAMXG00005024625.1)
Source: RNAcentral
CAAGGUUCAGUUACACAAGAAUAAUUAAUUGAUUUAUUAUUUCAUUUCCUGUUGUUCCAGCCUCACCAGGUGUGAAGAGGAAGACACCUGUGCCCAUUCCACCAGAGCUGACUUUUUUAGUAAAGGAGACAGCAGCUCCCAUAAAAGCAGGGGGAUCUAAGUCAACUCCAGGAGCCAGCACAAGUGCUUCUUGCACAUCUGCACGAAAGGCGAUUACUUUUGAGGACAGCGGUGAAGAUGUUCCCUUAGCUCAACCACCUGUUCCUGUUCCCCUGCCUGGCCCUGAUCGGGACAUAAGCAGUUGGAGCUGUUCUCAACACCAGAAGAUCUGGAUGAGGACAGAGCUUCAGGAUCUUGGGCUGUGGCCUGGGUCUAACCCAGUGCGGAACCCAGGGAACACAAUUUCUCUGUGGCGUCUUCCUCCACAACCUGAGCUCAUUGACAUGGUGGCUGAGCUCCCAUCCCCAAACUUCUUCCAGCUACAUCCAUUUUUUAUCUGGAAGCCCGAGAGUGACAUCAUGGUCAGGCUGAGAAACAAUUACAUCCUGCCAUGUCUCCGUGGCUGUUCUCAUCCGCAGGUGGUCUCUGCUGGUGUGGGCAGGCCUCGGGUGAUUGUUGGCACCAGCGGUCAAUAUUAUAUAUUGUCCUCACGACUCUGCUGCAAAGCAUGUCGAAGGAACUGGUUUGCUGACAAUCCACGAUGGCUGGAGAAGCUGCCAAAGCGGUUUACCAACAUUCUGCCCACUUUCCUGACUUACAAAAAGGCCAUCUGCAAGUCUUUGAUGGAUGAGUUGAGGCGCACUGGCAAGUCACCAACAGAUAUGGCAAACCAGGUGAAUGAGCUCAUGCACCUUAAGUAUGAGCGAGCUCACCUGGCAUACCUACAUGCCAUAGAAAACAUCUGGGAUGCUGAGGCCGGCAUAUAUGGACAGAGGACCAUCGGGCAGUUCAUGAGGAAAGAAAACAAGCCACGUGCAUUUGGACCAUAUGAAGAUUCAGAUGGCUGGUGUGGGGUCUCUGUCUCCGGUUUCUACCUUACUGACUGCCUACUAGACGAGUUCAGACGUCAAGAGCCAGCCAUGUCCAAACUCCUCCAGGGCACCUUUGGGCAGGUAUUCAGGUCUGACCACACCAGGAAGGUAGCACGUAAGGUUACACUAGCAUCUGGGGUCAUGUCCAGUUAUGCCAUCAUGAAUGAGAACUGGCUGAUUGUUUCUUGGGUGAUGGUUCAGUCUGAGACUGAGAAGUCCUUGGAGCCAAUGUAUCAAGGAUUGGCCAGGAGAUACAGCAAUGCGGGUGUGGAAAAGGCAGGCUACCACUGGAUGGACAGAGACUGCUGUGCUCCAUUUAAAAUCCCGGAAUGCGCCUCUGGUGAGCAUCUAUAUUGGGAUGCCUGGAAGACAACCCCUUCCAUUGUUGCUCAGGCCACCUCUGGCCCACUUGCGAACACCUGCGCCUCCCGGUCACAUUACAAUGCCAACAUCGUUGUGAAACUGGACUUGUUCCACUGCAUCAGGCGUUUUUCACGGGAGUGUACAUCUGAGCAUCAUCCUCUGUUCAGCAAUUUCUGCCAGCUUCUCUCUGCAGCCUUCUCUGUGGUGGAUCAGGAGGACUUACAGAGGCUCAGGGACGCCUAUGUGUUCUGUGGUAUCCAUCCAGCCAAUCCCACCAAGCAACAUAUAAGGGAGCACUGCAGGACCAAAAUACCACAACCGACAGAGCUGCUGGACAGAAUUGAGAAUGUCCUUAAGCAUUUUCAUGUGGCCACAGACCCCAACAAUGUCCCACUCUUCAAGCCACACAUGCUGAAGACAUGGCGCAUACAGAGAGUGCACAUUCUUCGUGGUUGCCUCAGUGACCCUGAACUUUCAGAGGGCAUAAUGUACAGGUACGGUGGAACUCUUCAACUAAACCAUGUACCCGGUGAAGGCGCCAAAGUCCCCAUCUGGAUCCCUGUCCGAGGUACAUCACAACAGGAGGGGUACCAUUUCCACCAGGCCCAGUGGGUCACAGGGACCCAUGUCUCCACUGAAUUGUUCCAGGCCCAGGGCAUGACAGGGGUGGCACGGUGGAACUAUCAACGACUGGUGGACCUAAAGCAGCCAGAUGUUAUCCUCCCUGCUGUCUUUGAUCCAGCUUUAAUGGCUGAGUUGAACUCUGCUUCCAAGAGAGUGACAGGGCAGGAGAAGUAUGCAUUAUUUCACAUCUCUGACACAGACACCGGAGAGACGUUUGGUCUAGAAUACAAAGAGCCAGGCUGCCGUCCGGUCCCUCUUGACUGGGACAAACACAGGACCCAAAAGAGAGACGAAACAUCUGCUCUUGUCCCACUAUCUCCUGUGCAGGCACCCACUUCUGCCCAGGCCCAAGCUCCAGACUCGGCACCCUCCUCCAAAUUGACGCCACUCUCUAGCUUGGCAUCUUCUGGCCCAACAUCAUCCCUCAGCCAUUCACUCUCCGCUGGGACACUUUUAAAGCAGGAAAUACUUUCAGAAGACAACCAGGACCCUCCAGAAGCAAUGGAAAUCUCACAUGCCCUGCCCCUGCUGCAGAAGUCCUCUCCGAGAAGUGCCCGCACCGGACCCAUAAAGACAGGUGGACGGGUUUUUGUGUUGGACCACACACGCUGGACACCACCCAUGAAAGAUGCUAUCGACCACUUACUGCACAAGUUCCGUGGUGAGAAGGACAUGCUAAAGCUGGUAGAUCAAGAAUAUGCACACAUGGUCCAUCAAUCUGCCUCAGAUCCCAACAGCUUGCUGCACCCCACAACCAAACUACACAUAUCCCGCUAUGUGAAGCACCUGGCAAAACUUCUUAACACCAGUUCUUCUCUGAACACAAGCCAGGAAAAACUUCAGGAGACUCAGCAGCUGUGGCACUCCUUAACAAAAGGAAGUGAGACAGCCAGUGUUCCUGUGGUCACCAUGGAGCCUGCUAUUGUCAACCCACCUGCACCUGCCAUGGUGACACCUCUGACACAGGAGUCCAUUGAGAAAAUUGUGGAGGACAUCUUGCAAAGGCAGCAGCAGCAACAAAAGCAACAGCCCCAGCCAGAGCAGAAGAAAAGGCAGACAAAGACCUGUCUUGCAUGUGGACAGCCCAAGUCUCGAUAUGAGACAGAUGGAUCCUCCAUCCACUUUUUUUAUCAACAAGGGCCUGUGCGCUAUUUCUAUUGCUCAAAGAGGGUGCAUCAAAGUUACGCUGCUGAGGGACUUUCUGACCCCAAAAUGCCAUUUGAACAAUUUGCAGACACAGAAUUUUUUCAGAGGGAGCUGGAGGGCACCAAGAAACGGGUGGAGGAAAAAAAGGAGAAAAAGAGGAAAAGGCCAGAUUCCCAACCAACAGGCCGCUGCUGCAGAUUCUGCCACAAGGACCUGAAACAGGGACCAAACAGCCCACACAUACACACGGGCUUCCCUGGAGUGGCAGGAAAAUACAUUUACUGCCCAGCUAAAGUGUACUCUUUAUACAAAGAUAAGGGCAUGAUUAAAGAGAUGACCUGGAUGGAGUUUAAAGAGUCCCCAUUCUAUGAAGCAGAGAGAAAAAGAUGGGUGGAGGAAAGGAAGACCUGAUUCGUAUAUAUUUGUACAUACUUCAAAUGAUUAAUCCAAUUGUUGUUCUGUAUAUAUAUAUAUAUGUGUUUCUGAUUUCUGAAUGUGCUAUAUAUGUAUAGGUUUUAUUUUUUUUUUGUAGUUUCCAAAGUUUAUAUUAUUUUGUCAUACACAUGUGCGCUUAUGUUUAGUCCUUUAGACCACAGCAAUGUGUGUGUGUAUAUGGAUAUUGGUAUGUAUAACUUUAUAGUUUGUGUGUAUAUUGUUUUCCUUAAAGUUCUUUUUUUAAACAGAUUUUACCUUG